AUGGCUUUAGUACGUGAUCUUUGGUUGACAAGUAGUGUGGACACGAUGACAGGGCCAAUUUGGCCAUCUAUUGAGGCCGAAAAUUUUGAGUUGAGGCCUGGACUUAUUGCUCUCGUCUUGCAGAAUCAGUUUAGAGGAUUACCCAAUGAAGACCCUCAUGAGCACAUUAGUAAUGUUCUGGAGUAUGCCAAUACAGUCCAGUAUCAUGGCAUUUCCCAAGAUGCUAUCAAGUGUAUGUUGUUCACAUUCUCUCUCAGAGAUGCUGCUAAGGACUGGUACUAUUCCUUGCCAUCAAGAUCAUACACUUGGGGUGAUAUUUCACAAGCUUUCCUGCAUACAUAUUUUCCACUUUACAAGCAAGCUGCAAUCCGUGACCAUAUCCUCAGUUUUGCGCAAGAUGGUAGUGAGAGCUUGUAUGCAGCUUGGGAGAGAUAUAAGUAUUUGCUUAGAAAUGUCCUAAUCAUGGGCAAAAGGAUUGGUUAG
Molecule: ribosomal RNA, 483 nt
Filed under: Triticum aestivum (bread wheat)
Lineage: Eukaryota; Viridiplantae; Streptophyta; Magnoliopsida; Poales; Poaceae
Description: partial small subunit ribosomal RNA
Source: RNAcentral